RNAcentral lists this ribosomal RNA (466 nucleotides) under uncultured bacterium. RNAcentral describes it as "bacterial SSU rRNA". It matches the Rfam family "Bacterial small subunit ribosomal RNA", at positions 329 to 793 of the family's 1533-position model. The record is from RNAcentral.
UUCCAGACUCCUACGGGAGGCAGCAGUGAGGAAUAUUGGUCAAUGGACGAGAGUCUGAACCAGCCAAGUAGCGUGAAGGAUGACUGCCCUAUGGGUUGUAAACUUCUUUUAUAAAGGAAUAAAACGAGGCACGUGUGCCUUUUUGCAUGUACUUUAUGAAUAAGGAUCGGCUAACUCCGUGCCAGCAGCCGCGGUAAUACGGAGGAUCCGAGCGUUAUCCGGAUUUAUUGGGUUUAAAGGGUGCGUAGGCGGACAGUCAAGUCAGCGGUAAAAAUGCGGUGCUCAACGCCGUACAGCCGUUGAAACUGGCAGUCUUGAGUGGGCGAGAAGUAUGCGGAAUGCGUGGUGUAGCGGUGAAAUGCAUAGAUAUCACGCAGAACUCCGAUUGCGAAGGCAGCAUACCGGCGCCCGACUGACGCUGAGGCACGAAAGCGUGGGUAUCGAACAGGAUUAGAUACCCGCGUAA